Molecule: long non-coding RNA, 8361 nt
Filed under: Sus scrofa (pig)
Lineage: Eukaryota; Metazoa; Chordata; Mammalia; Artiodactyla; Suidae
Description: lncRNA (ENSSSCG00005026886.1)
Source: RNAcentral
AAAGUCAUUAUCCUUCAGUUUUGCUCAUGUCAGCUGAGUGCUUUUCUCUUGAGCCCAUUUCUUGGGAAAUGCCGUGGGGGGGGAGGUGAUCACCUGUGAAGGAACAUUCUCUCUUUUAACAUGACAAAUGUGCCUAUAACAUUGUCCGUAUUAGUCAGAAAAUAAUUGUGCAGUGGCACAAUGUGGGAUACUUGAAAGAUGCUUGCUGCACAAAGGUUCCAGUACUCACCUGCAGAUGAAGAAAUGGGUUUCUAAGCCAUCUCAUUUCUAUUGCUAACGAAAAGCUUUGGAAGGCACCUGUGAAUCAGAGCUCCAGCUGCUCUCAUGGUAGGGGAAGUUAGGCCUUGAAAGGAUACACGGAUUAGCCCGUCAGAAAAGCAAACAGUAGCAUCAGCACAAGUAGAAAAUAGGGUUGUUAAGCUAACAGAGAAGUAGGCUAAAGCAUUGCCAUAAUUACGUGGUGGAAAUUUGCUGGGAAGGAGAGACUGCUGGGAUGAGAGAAGGAAAAGAAGGAGAAGAGAAGGCAGGGCAGUGACUGACAGGUCAACAUAGAAGAGGUCUGUCCACUGGGAAGAGCCUACAGGAAGAAAGGCCUUGCUUGUAACAAAACAAUAAAGCAAGUGGAAAAAGACCUUGUAAUUUGGUACCUAGUGCAUGUGAAAUAGGAAGACCGGGUGCUCAGACCCACAUUCUUUGGUCGGUUCUUAUUGUAAAAAGUGAAUUGAGCUUGGAAGACAGCUCAUGAAGUCACAGUUUAUGUGUUUACAGAUAAGGCAUUGCUGAUCAAGGGCAGAUGGAAACUUGAAGGAACUGGUUAGGCCUAGGUGGAGAUUUUCCUGGAAAAUGAACGAAGUAGAGAAUAGAGCACAGCAGAAAAUAGCUGCAUUAUUAAUGGGCAGAACAUGUGAUAGUCCUCUCUAAGGUUAUCCAUAGAACUUACUUGUCUGCUUGUGCUGGGGGUGUUAGAAGACGUGAGGAACAAAGAUGUGCUUAUUUCAGAGAUGAAAGGCAUGGAACAUGGUAUCUACCUGUUUCCAGUUUGGGGUUAAGCCAUUUUCUGCAGCCAGGCUUCACAGGCUGGUCUGGCCAUCCAAUCCUGGCAUUUUAAAAUCCUAAUUAAGGCCACUGUGGUCCAGAAUGUUUAGCCAUUCUAAUCCCUAAUGACAUCAUCCCUCUGUGUUGUGAUCAGUUAGUCAGCAAUUGAGCAUCAGUCACUCAACCCAGAUUGGGCCUGAUCUGGGGGUCUUACACGUGGGAUAACAUUUGAACACUGGGUUAUAGACUGAAGAUGGUCAAAAAAGUAGAUACCAGCUAGAGAUUAAAGAUUAAAGAUUUCAAUAACAAGUACUUAUCACCCAGGAAUUUUUCUCUUCAGUGGUUUCUUUUUUCGGUGGUCUUCUCUGAAGACUGCUAAUGAGUAUUUCAUGAUGAUAACUGGGGAGGGGAUCUGUAUGGAAGAGACCAUUUUCAUUUGAAUGUUCAGCUGCAAGAACUCCCCCUUUUCUGCUGUCAACUGAGUAUUGUCCUUUCUGAUGUUGGGUAAGAAAACCUUCCGUAAGGAGAUUAAAUAUGAUUGCUUCAUCAGAAAAUUCUGCCAGCUCCUCUAAAGAGUGGGAAUACCACAGAAGCCUUUUAACAAAAUGCUAUUUCCCCUCUUGGAGUGACUCAUAGGUAAUAUUAAUACUAGGUAACAUUUGCUUAGCAUUUAAUAUGAACCAGGACUGUUCACAGAAAAAAAGAAAAAAUUGAGGUUUGGGGAGGUAAUAUACCUAAAUUUAUGGAGCUAUGAAAUGGGGGAAUCCAGGGAGUUCCCUCGUGACUAGGUGGGUUAAGGAUUCAGCAUUGUCACUGCUGUGGCUCGGGAGUGUGGGUUCGAUGCCUGGCCUGGGAACUUCUGCAUGCUGUGGACUUGGGCAAAAAAUAAAAAUAAAAUAAAUGGAGGAGCCAGUUUGCACACACAGGAGGACCACCCCCUGGCUCUCAGCUGCUGGGAACUGGCCUCGGUUAUUACUUAGUAUGCUAAUAGCUUAUGUUCCUGAUGGUUUAUCUCUUCCAGUUGCUUAUGCCAGGAGUAUAUCCUGGUGUUCUGGAAGGAAAUCUGAGCUUAAUGGAGAAUUAAUUGUAAUAUAUUAGUUGAUAUGAGAGAUAUAACUUACUCUCUGAUUCGACCCCUAUCCUGGGAACUUCCAUAUGCUACAGGUGCAGCCCUUUAAAAAAAAAAAAAAAAAAGCUUAUUGUAUAGAUUACAUAAAAUAGCACGUGUUUCAGAAAGUUGACUUGAAUCCUUCCACUUGUGUGGAAGUUCUCAUCAUUCUUUCCCUGCUCAGGGGAGCAUGGCUUUGCCUCUCAUUAGUAGUUUUGGGGUACUGAGCAGUUAAGUGGGAUUGAAGAGCACAUGGUAGCUAUUUCUGAAAUUCAUCCCAACCCCCAGAUUGACUCAAGUGUGUGAAUCCCUCGCCCAGUCUUUCUCUGACCAGUGGUUGUAGUUUGUUAAUAAUGAAUGAACAUCACCCAUAGGUCCUGAAAUUAGCAAGUGUUAAAUGUUAUGUGAUUAUUAGGUGAAAAACAAGAUAACCUAGUCAGUGGACUUAAUUAGGUUGUGAUUGCCCAGUUGCUGCUUCAUGAUAAUUAUAUUCAUAACCCCGUUUCUAGACGUCAACUACAAUUAUCAAAAUUGACCCCAGCACAGGUAAGUGUUAGCAAUCUUAUUUGAAGCAGCUUCUGAAGGGUGAAUUUCUGAUGUUCCUGGUACAUUCCUCCUGGUCCUUUAUCCUUUCUUGCCACCUUCCCAUCAUCUUUUUCCCCAUUUUAAUAGAAAGGUCAGGCGCAACAUCAUCUUGUCUCUGACCAUGCACAUGUUAUAUAGCUGGUAUUGGUGUCUAAAAAAAUAUAAAGUUUUAAGAUUUUCAGACUCAAAUAUGGCUGAAAAAAUUAAUAAAUCAGCAAAUAGGAAUCUUGAAGCCUAAACAUCUAAAAUUUUUGGCUAGAUUUUUUUUCUCAGCUCAUGACACCUGUUCAGUAGAUUUAAUGGGAUUCAUUUGAAUAGAUCUUUUACUUUAUAAGGCAUGGUCUUAAAAUGAAUAAGAGAGUCAUCUGUGUUCAAGAUAAUGCCUUGUCAAUGUGAUCAUCAAGGUCUGAGGGGUACAGAAUGAGGGCUUUUAACUUUAUGUGACCACCCUCCAUGUCUUCCCAAAUUCAUGGCAUUUGCCUUCAGUGUAUUUUAGUAGAAAAAGAAAAUGUCAUUGCCAGGGACAUUCUUUACUGUUAUCUCUUAAACGAAGUCAUUGAUUUCUAGGAAAUAUAAACAACAACCUGUAUCAGAAGUGGGUAUGUCAGUGUGACACUGUGAAUCACUGGGCCAGAUUGUCACUUGGCAGCCUUCCCUUUCUGACGUGCAGUUAGUUAUAUGGGAAAGUAAUGCAAUUAAAAUCUGCAAACCAUGGCUGAACUUCAUUGCAGCUGAACGGUUUGAGAACAGCAAGGAACGAGGCUACCAUGUCUACCGAUAUAUGGGUGUGUGUGUGUAUGUAUUUAUGUAUAAAUAUGUAUAAGUAUGUGAAUAUAAAAUAUAUUGUGAAUAUAUUUUAGGUAGAUGGACCAAUCGAUCAAUAGAUUGAUCUAUCGAUUGGUUGAUUGAUAGAUAUAUCUUCUUGCUGGGAGAAGGCUUAUUUUUUUGCUGACGGAUCAGGAGUGCAAAUUUCUCAGAAUUUCUGUGUGAACAUGUAGUUCUCUGUGCUGGGGUUUUCCUUAAGAAAGUGGUGUGUAGUUGGUGGAGCAUACUCUUUGGGUCUUGCACAAGCAAAAGUUAAAUUGCACCUUUGUUCUUGCCCAGCUGUGUGAUCUUGAAUAAGUCACUUAACUUCUCUGUUCCCAUGAUUGCCUACCCAAUAAAAUGGGGAUAAUAAUAUGAAUCUGGAGAACUGACGUAAGGACCGAAACGUGUAUAAGGGCCCUUCUUCCUUGGGAAUAGAGAAAAUGAGGUGGGGAGGUCUAGACUGGCUAUGAACUGUUUUGUCCUCUGUCUUAGACUCAAUGUUAAGAUUCAUGUUAUGCCAUGUCUGACUUAAGUGAUGGGAAGUCCUUGUUGCUUGUAUCCAUUUACUUUUCUGGGUUGUGAGCCUCCGGUCUGGCUGGCUGUGGUCCUGAAGCUCUCCGUAGUUGGGAUUUAUAAACCACCUGAAGAUGAUCCCAGGUCUCCUUGGGAAAGUGCACUGACCCUCCACUUUGCAGAGAUAGAUAUUCCCUGGGGUGUUGUGGGAAUGAUUCUGAAUCAAGGUGAACUUCAAGAGCUUUUUGGAAAAAUGGUGUUAUUACCAUGCCUCUUGUCUGGCAUUGUUCUGGCAAAAAUGAUGUGUCUAAGAGCACUGUAUUCACUCAGUGAAAAUAGGAGCUAUGCCCCUUUCUGGCUUUGCUCAGAUAGCUCUCUCUGAGCCAGUUUGAGGGCUGUCCUCUGGCCUUGCUUUGAAUUGCAUGGUCUUCUCUGUGCAAACGUUUAUUUUAGUAGUCCAUGUCCACUUGGUCUUACUAAUGUACUGUAAUAUCAGAUGCUUGGAGAUCUCAGGGGUAGGGAGGCUAAUUUUAGAGUGCCUUCAGGAUAGAUGAUAUUUCAAAAUGUGGAAGGGUGUUGGUAGGGCUUACCAGGACUUACCUAACCUGGACUGCUCCAUGUCAGUAGAACCUUCUUUGGUGGCUCCUUGGUGGCAGCAAUAAAAAACGAGUCACUAGUUCUUAGGUAACAAAGUAUAGUGAUUUUUUUUCACCUUUCAAAGCAGAUUAGUCAUGAAGACUUAGUUAUUUUUACAUUUUGAAGGUUUCCGGAAAGGCAAGGGUGUUGGUGGAAAUUCUUUUUUUUGGGGGGGGGGCUGUGUCUGUGGCCUAUAGAACUUACCAGGCCAGGGAUCAAACCUGAACCACAGCAGUGACCUAAGCCGCUGCAGUGACAAUGCCUGAUCCCUAACCCCCUGUGCCACAAGAGAACUCCCAGAAUUUUUUUUUUUUUUUAAUUAUUGAAAAGAAACCUUCAUGUUGCUACUUUAAAAUUGUGGCCAGAGAUAUUGGAGGAGGAGAGAAAAAAGAGACCAUAUAUUUUAUUUAUUUACCAGUGUUCAGAUCUCUAGGAUGAUCUCAAGUGAGAGAUUUUUGGUCUCAGAAGGUGGACCCCAAAAUGAAAGGAGUGGAAGUGAAGCCCUGGCUAUGGUGUGGUUAAAAGAAUGUGGAAUGCCCUCAGUCAAGUAAGAAAGGUCGAGAGAAACAGGAGGGACUGAAACUAGGACUUCCUGGGAUGCCAGAAAAGCUCUGGGAGUGGAAAGCUCUUUCCAUUUUCCCCAAGCCCUAGGGAGGGAAAGGUAGAUUUGGGGGUGCCACUUUGCCACGUGUUCAGUUCUUUCCAAGCUGUAAGAUCCUUACUUAUUUGUGGCAGCCUAGUAGUAGUAGGAAAGUGAUUGGCUUCACUUGGGUCAAGUUCCUCAUUUGCUCCUGGCCUCCAGUUUAUCUUCAAAAUGGAAUUCCCUCUUUGGCGAAGGCUUAGAGACAUAAUGUAUGUAAAACACCCAGCACGCUGCCAGGUACUCAGUGAACGGCCACCUCUGCAGUUCAUUUGCAAUGAUCGAUUAGUGGCCAUCUAGUGCCUGUGGUGCAGAUGGCUUGCUCCUUGCCAUUUUUUUCUGCCGCCUGGCUUUGCCUUCCUAGUUUGUAGUUGUGGGAUGAUGAUAGAGUUGGAAAGAAUUCAGUGUCUUCACUCUCUCGUAAAAUGUUUUAUAGAUGCUGUUAUAUUUAAGAAAUAUGUGCUCAUUCAUCUUUAUUCAUUCAUCAAACAUUUAUUGAGGGCCCUUUGAGUACUUGGCACGCCUGCAGUGUGCCUAGGUGGUCGAACCCAGUGGAGGUGGGAAUCUCUCUACCAGUUGUGUUAGGUUCUUUGUCUUGGUAAUUGGGAGUGAUUAUGAUGGAGAUGGCGGUCCUUAAUCACACUCCAAUGAACCAGAGGGUGGCGAACCCUGGCCCGAGGCAGUGAGACCUGGAUUCCUAUUUAGAUGCAUGUAUUUCUGCGUCUUUGUGUGUAUAUGUUUACAAUAUAAUUUGCUAACUGUGUAGUUAAGGCUACUGGGGUGCAUAAUCUGGCAGAUCAUUUAAAUAUUUACACCGAAAUAUCUUGUUCUCUGUUGGUGUGAAGUAGAGUUUCCAGUUAUUUUUAGGUCAUUUUCAUCUUAGCAACCCUGUUGGAGAUGAACCAGACACACUGCUGUAAACUGUCCCCACAUUUUGAUCGAAUUUAAUAAAGUAAAGUUGAAUGGUUUGGUCCCAAGAGGCCAACCAACCAUCUGGUUAGCAGAAGGGUUAGGUCGAGUAUUGCAUGGCUGCUGAGAGGGCCACAGACCAGCCCCGAUGUCCUGGUAAUAUGUCCAGUGGCUGCAUGCAUUAAGCAUGGAAAUGGUGCUUUCAAGUCUGCAGAGCCAGCAGUUCUGUUACCACCGCUGUGACGCAGGAGAUAAUUCAGCUGGGCAAGCGGCAGCGUGGGGGUGGAUCUACAGUACAGGAUGUGUAAUGUCAACAUGAAGGAUUGGAGCUGGCAGAAGGAAGGGAAGCACUCAUUUCAUGCCAGUGCAGGAAGCCUAAAGAUGCAUCCCGCCCCCACACCCCCUUUGCAUCUUGUCCUCUUCUGGAGCUUUCCCAUGAUGUGUUAAAUGAUUACCUUGUGCAUGGUCCAUGGCAAAACUUCAGCUGAUUUCCUGCCUCUUUUGGAACCUGUCAGCAUAAACCUAGUGAACCACAUUCCACACACAUGUAGGGCGGGCAGAGGCAGGAGUUAGUGGCACCGCCUGGGAGGAGGAGCCAGAGUUUUGUUAGGCAGGAGCAUCUUUGCGCUUGGAGAUGGAAUCCCAUUGUACGUCCCUUUGUGCUCAGCUCUGAGACUGGCCAUCCGUUCAAAGGCUGCAAUCAUCUCGGCACAUUGUGCUGCAGCUGUAGUUGGGAGAAGGCUGCAGAAUGGUUCCAGUGAUUCUGCAGAAGCUCGGCAAUUACAUAAUUGCUAUGUAACUGGAGAGAGCCAUCAGGAUUGUCUAGUUCUCCUGGAGAGAAAGCUCCUACAAUUUGAGGGCUAGAUUGUUUUCCCUUGUUAAACCUGAAGGCUGAUGAGCAAGUACAUCAAGCCACCAGGCUGGAACCGGGGCCUCUCAGGGGCCUGAGAGGGCACAAAAUUCACAAGUACACUUGGCUGAACACUCAGUGGACUUCACAGCUGUGUUAAAGGGAGAGAGAGGGCGAGAGCAAGUCACUGACUCUUGGAAAAGUGGAUUCUUAUAUCAGCCAAACAUGAUAUUGGACUUGCCUCUAGUAUUUGGGACUCUGUUCUGUAUGCAUUCAAAGCAUAGAGGAUUCCAGUCUCCUGCUCCCAGGAAUGGGACUAGCAGAGUUGCACUUGACCACCAAGAGCCCUCUCAGUUUCUGCUGCCUGCUCAGAAGGAUUUCACAGUCUUUCUCUCUCUUUUCAAUUUUUUAUUUUUUGCUUUUUAGGACUGCCCCUGCAACAUAGGGAAGUUCCCAGGCUAGGGGUCGAAUCAGAGCUACAGCUGCCAGCCUACACCACAGCCACAGCAAUGUGGGAUCUGAGCCUUGUCUGCGACCUACACCUCACCUCACUGCAACGCUGGAUCCUUCACCCACUGAAUGAGGCCUGGGAUCGAACCCGCACCCUCAUGAGUACUAGUUGACUUCGUUACUGCUGAGCCAUGAUGGGAACUCCUCGCAGCCUCUCUGAAAGCUCUUAGAUGCAGAUGAGUGGAAGGAGGGUGAGGCCUACCCUACCCCUCAGGCCUUUCUAAAUGCGCUGGCUCCCUGGGCUUCAGACCCUGGUGCAGUGCCUGGGCAGCCUGGGGGCUGGAGCAGACUGGACAGUUUGUCUGGGAAGACCUCACAGCGAAGGAAUGAAUUCCUUCUUUCAGCUACCUUACCGCUUGUUUUCCCUGGUGGAGAAAAUUUUGAGGUGGAGUUGGUUAGAUGUAGGCGCAAGGGUUGCAUUAAACCAGCGAGAGCCUCGGGCUCCAAGUCUCAUCAGAUACCUACCGAAGCAGUCACCUAAAAUUAGCCACACCUCCUAACCCAAGUGAGGGUUUUAUGUUUGUUUAUGUUAAGUAGCUCUAAAUUUCAGCAAUCCUACCUUUCUGGGCACAGUUUUGUGGAGCUGGUAGAGUAGAAAGAGUGGUUGUUGGGGUAAUUUUUAUUAAUGGCCUAAGUUGGACCUUUCAUAACUAUGAUAUUCAUCUGUUUUUUUCUAUUUAAAUGUGUUUGUACUCAGAACUUCAGCCUAAGGGAAAAUUCUACCUUGUGGCUCCUUUGUGAAUUAAAAGGGAGUCCCCAGGAGUUCCC